This is a non-coding RNA of Paramisgurnus dabryanus, 766 nucleotides long. NCBI's taxonomy places the organism in Eukaryota, Metazoa, Chordata, Actinopteri, Cypriniformes, Cobitidae. The record is from RefSeq and is a predicted model, not a curated record.
CUAUAUAAGCCCCUCUGUUAACUUUUGUUCAAGCCUGUCUAGAUCUUUUAUCAGUCUAGAAAGAUGUUGGAGAAAAGACAUCAUCCUCUUCUAUAAUCUCCAUCUGUAAUUGGACUAACAACUGGACCAGUCAAUGCAGGCAACUUACUCUCCAUUCGACCUUGCAGGUCACACCAUGGUCUCAAGAGGGAAAAUGAGUGCUCUAUGGAUUGAACAGAAAAAGGUGAAUCAAAACUCCAACAUCUGUAUGAGGGUCUGGAUGGAUAAAGGAUGCCCACUGGAGCUGGAAAUGAUGGAUCAGGUGGAUCCACACUUGAACCAUCUGUAUGAUGAUCUGCACCCACUGGAUCUGUAAAUGGUGGUGCAGAAAGACACAGCACAUCAUUAUAUCGUUGGCUCCGCCCACUGGUGUUCAGUCUAAAGUAGUAGUUGUUGACAAUCAUAAAGUUGUAAUAACAGUAAGAUUGUGAUGUCAGACAAACAUUGUGCUGUUGCUGGCUGUGGGAAAUUAGUGUCUUUGUAAGGGUCGCAAAUAAUUUGAAAAUAUUUAUGUUUCUAAAUAUGCCCCCCUACCAUGAACUAAACUGGACUGUUGCAGAGACCAAGUGUAGUAGGGUACACUACUAUGCAGAAUUCUGGCCUGGUGUUUGGUCCCCCCUUUCUCUGGCUUGUGUCUCCAUCAUCAUUACACUCUUGUCAGUGUAAUAGUAUCGUCGUCUGCAUACCAGGACUUUGUUACUCAGCUGUCCCUUCUCCUUCAAGCUAC